GACUGCAACCCAGGAUUGCAUUGAGUGGGAAGAUACAAUUUUUACAGCAUCACCAAAAAGCAUAAGAUUAUUUGGAUCCUCUGAUGUAACGCCAGUCCAGCAACAGCAGCGGUGGAAGCAAUGGCCACAAGUCCCACUACUGCUGUUACGACGAUCCCAACCGCUCUUUGGCUGCGGUGGACAAGAUCUGCAUUACUUUGUAAAUUUGAGUAACCCCAGUAGAUUUACUCCAGAGAAGGACCGUCCUGCUUUGUCUGCAAGAGCAGGGCUUAUCGGGAACGUCUCGUUUGCGAGCACGCAGUCCUCUACAGCACCCGGCCCAACUUUUAUCAUAGUGAAGAAUUAUAGGAAUUACCUGAAAAGACUGCUCACUGUAUAUACUGCCUAGU
Piliocolobus tephrosceles (Ugandan red Colobus) is the source of this 389-nucleotide long non-coding RNA. RefSeq lists it as uncharacterized. Lineage: Eukaryota; Metazoa; Chordata; Mammalia; Primates; Cercopithecidae. The transcript is spliced from 3 exons. The record is from RefSeq and is a predicted model, not a curated record.